UCGUGGGGGGCCCAAGUCCUUCUGAUCGAGGC
Molecule: non-coding RNA, 32 nt
Filed under: Macaca fascicularis (crab-eating macaque)
Lineage: Eukaryota; Metazoa; Chordata; Mammalia; Primates; Cercopithecidae
Also listed under: 3 other names
Source: RNAcentral